This 74-nucleotide transfer RNA is filed under the name Bacteroides sp. RNAcentral's name for it is "tRNA-Ala". It matches the Rfam family "tRNA". Rfam says of the family: Transfer RNA (tRNA) molecules are approximately 80 nucleotides in length. Lineage: Bacteria; Pseudomonadati; Bacteroidota; Bacteroidia; Bacteroidales; Bacteroidaceae. The record is from RNAcentral.
GGGGUCAUAGCUCAGUCAGGUAGAGCGCUUGCCUUGCAAGCAGGAAGUCCCGCGUUCGAAUCGCGGUGGCUCCA